RNAcentral lists this ribosomal RNA (497 nucleotides) under uncultured bacterium. Its description in RNAcentral is "partial 16S ribosomal RNA". It matches the Rfam family "Bacterial small subunit ribosomal RNA", at positions 28 to 507 of the family's 1533-position model. The record is from RNAcentral.
GAUGAACGCUGGCGGCGUGCCUAAUACAUGCAAGUCGAGCGAACAGACGAGGAGCUUGUUCCUUUGACGUUAGCGGCGGACGGGUGAGUAACACGUGGAUACCCUCCCUAUAAGACUGGGAUAACUUCGGAAAACCGGAGCUAAUACCGGAUGAUAUAUUGAACCGCAUGGUUCAAUAGUGAAAGACGGUUUUGCGGUCACUUAUAGAUGGAUCCGCGCCGCAGUAGAUAGUUGUUAAGGUAACGGCCUAUCAAGGCAACGAUGCGUAGCCCACCUCAGAGGGUGCUAGCCCACAUGGGAACUGAGGCAGCGUCCGGGGACCUGAGGUAGGGCACAGUCGGGUACGCGCCGCAAUAGGCGAGAGUCUGACAGAACAAACACGCGUGUGAUGUGAAAGUCUUCCGUGCGGAAAGCUCUAUUAUGAGUGAAGAACAAAUGUGGAAGUAACUAUGCACGUCUUGACGGUACCUGAUAAGAAAGCCACGGCUAACUACGUG